This 366-nucleotide ribosomal RNA is filed under the name uncultured bacterium. Its description in RNAcentral is "bacterial SSU rRNA". It matches the Rfam family "Bacterial small subunit ribosomal RNA", at positions 28 to 396 of the family's 1533-position model. The record is from RNAcentral.
GACGAACGCUGGCGGCGUGCUUAACACAUGCAAGUCGAGCGGUAAGGCCCUUUCGGGGGUACACGAGCGGCGAACGGGUGAGUAACACGUGGGUGACCUGCCCUCAGCUCUGGGAUAAGCCUGGGAAACCGGGUCUAAUACCGGAUAUGACUCCAUGACGCAUGUUGUGGGGUGGAAAGCCUUGUGCGGCUGAGGAUGGGCCCGCGGCCUAUCAGCUUGUUGGUGGGGUGAGGCCUACCAAGGCGACGACGGGUAGCCGGCCUGAGAGGGCGACCGGCCGCACUGGGACUGAGACACGGCCCAGACUCCUACGGGAGGCAGCAGUGGGGAAUCUUGCGCAAUGGGCGAAAGCCUGACGCAGCGACG